RNAcentral lists this ribosomal RNA (484 nucleotides) under uncultured bacterium. Its description in RNAcentral is "partial 16S ribosomal RNA". It matches the Rfam family "Bacterial small subunit ribosomal RNA", at positions 30 to 507 of the family's 1533-position model. The record is from RNAcentral.
AUUGAACGCUGGCGGCAGGCCUAACACAUGCAAGUCGAGCGGAUGAAGGGAGCUUGCUCCUGGAUUCAGCGGCGGACGGGUGAGUAAUGCCUAGGAAUCUGCCUGGUAGUGGGGGAUAACGUCCGGAAACGGGCGCUAAUACCGCAUACGUCCUGAGGGAGAAAGUGGGGGAUCUUCGGACCUCACGCUAUCAGAUGAGCCUAGGUCGGAUUAGCUAGUUGGUGGGGUAAAGGCCUACCAAGGCGACGAUCCGUAACUGGUCUGAGAGGAUGAUCAGUCACACUGGAACUGAGACACGGUCCAGACUACUACGGGAGGCAGCAGUGGGGAAUAUUGGACAAUGGGCGAAAGCCUGAUCCAGCCAUGCCACGUGUGUGAAGAAGGUCUUCGGAUUGUAAAGCACUUUAAGUUGGGAGGAAGGGCAGUAAGUUAAUACCUUGCUGUUUUGACGUUACCAACAGAAUAAGCACCGGCUAACUUCGUG